Molecule: non-coding RNA, 120 nt
Organism: Pelobates cultripes (western spadefoot toad)
Lineage: Eukaryota; Metazoa; Chordata; Amphibia; Anura; Pelobatidae
Source: the annotation of a GenBank genome assembly
GCCUACGGCCAUACCAGUCUGAAAGUGCCUGAUCUCGUCAGAUCUCAGAAGUCAUGCAGACUUGGGCCUGCUUAGUACUUGUAUGGGAGACCAACUAGGAACCUCAGGUGCCAGUAAGCU